UACGUAGGGUGCAAGCGUUGUCCGGAAUUAUUGGGCGUAAAGAGCUCGUAGGCGGUUCGUCGCGUCGGCUGUGAAAUCCCGAGGCUCAACCUCGGGUCUGCAGUCGAUACGGGCGGACUGGAGUUCGGCAGGGGAGACUGGAAUUCCUGGUGUAGCGGUGAAAUGCGCAGAUAUCAGGAGGAACACCGGUGGCGAAGGCGGGACUCUGGGCCGAUACUGACGCUGAGGAGCGAAAGCGUGGGGAGCGAACAGG
This 253-nucleotide ribosomal RNA is filed under the name uncultured bacterium. Its description in RNAcentral is "partial 16S ribosomal RNA". It matches the Rfam family "Bacterial small subunit ribosomal RNA", at positions 524 to 776 of the family's 1533-position model. The record is from RNAcentral.